GGGGGACCUUAGGGCCUCGCGCUAUAGGGGCGGCCGAUGUCGGAUUAGCUAGUUGGUGAGGUAAAGGCUUACCAAGGCGACGAUCCGUAGCUGGUCUGAGAGGACGACCAGCCACACUGGGACUGAGACACGGCCCAGACUCCUACGGGAGGCAGCAGUGGGGAAUUUUGGACAAUGGGGGCAACCCUGAUCCAGCAAUGCCGCGUGUGUGAAGAAGGCCUUCGGGUUGUAAAGCACUUUUGUUCGGGAAGAAAACGUUAGGGUAAAUAAUCUUAAUGGAUGACGGUACCGGAAGAAUAAGCACCGGCUAACUACGUGCCAGCAGCCGCGGUAAUACGUAGGGUGCAAGCGUUAAUCGGAAUUAUUGGGCGUAAAGGGUGCGUAGGCGGUUUGUUAAGACGGAUGUGAAAUCCCUGGGCUCAACCUGGGAACUGCAUACGUGACUGGC
RNAcentral lists this ribosomal RNA (448 nucleotides) under uncultured Burkholderia sp. RNAcentral describes it as "bacterial SSU rRNA". It matches the Rfam family "Bacterial small subunit ribosomal RNA", at positions 195 to 637 of the family's 1533-position model. Lineage: Bacteria; Pseudomonadati; Pseudomonadota; Betaproteobacteria; Burkholderiales; Burkholderiaceae. The record is from RNAcentral.